CCUACGGGUGGCAGCAGUGGGGAAUAUUGGACAAUGGGGGAAACCCUGAUCCAGCGACGCCGCGUGGGUGAAGAAGGCCUGCGGGUUGUAAAGCCCUUUCGGUAGGGAAGAAAUCUCUUGUCUUAACACGGCAGGAGUUUGACUUAACCUACAUAAGAAGCACCGGCUAACUCUGUGCCAGCAGCCGCGGUAAUACAGAGGGUGCGAGCGUUAAUCGGAAUUACUGGGCGUAAAGCGCACGUAGUCGGCUUGCCAAGUCGGGUGUGAAAUCCCCGGGCUCAACCUGGGAACUGCAUCCGAAACUGGCUUGCUAGAGUAUGGGAGAGGGAGGCGGAAUUUCUGGUGUAGCAGUGAAAUGCGUAGAUAUCAGAAGGAACAUCAGUGGCGAAGGCGGCUUCCUGGACCAAUACUGACGAUCAGGUGCGAAAGCGUGGGGAGCAAACAGGAUUAGAUACCCUUGUAGUC
This 465-nucleotide ribosomal RNA is filed under the name Weissella confusa. RNAcentral's name for it is "bacterial SSU rRNA". It matches the Rfam family "Bacterial small subunit ribosomal RNA", at positions 338 to 795 of the family's 1533-position model. Lineage: Bacteria; Bacillati; Bacillota; Bacilli; Lactobacillales; Lactobacillaceae. The record is from RNAcentral.